GACGAACGCUGGCGGCGUGCUUAACACUUGCAAGUCGAACGGAAAGGCCCUGCUUUUGUGGGGUGCUCGAGUGGCGAACGGGUGAGUAACACGUGAGUAACCUGCCCUUGACUGUGGGAUAACUUCAGGAAACUGGGGCUAAUACAGGAUAGGAGCUCCUGCUGCAUGGUGGGGGUUGGAAAGUUUCGGCGGUUGGGGAUGGACUCGCGGCUUAUCAGCUUGUUGGUGGGGUAGUGGCUUACCAAGGCUUUGACGGGUAGCCGGCCUGAGAGGGUGACCGGCCACAUUGGGACUGAGAUACGGCCCAGACUCCUACGGGAGGCAGCAGUGGGGAAUAUUGCACAAUGGGCGGAAGCCUGAUGCAGCAACGCCGCGUGCGGGAUGACGGCCUUCGGGUUGUAAACCGCUUUCGCCUGUGACGAAGCGUGAGUGACGGUAAUGGGUAAAGAAGCACCGGCUAACUACGUG
Molecule: ribosomal RNA, 468 nt
Filed under: uncultured bacterium
Lineage: Bacteria
Description: partial 16S ribosomal RNA
Rfam family: Bacterial small subunit ribosomal RNA
Source: RNAcentral